RNAcentral lists this ribosomal RNA (301 nucleotides) under uncultured bacterium. RNAcentral describes it as "partial 16S ribosomal RNA". It matches the Rfam family "Bacterial small subunit ribosomal RNA", at positions 509 to 807 of the family's 1533-position model. The record is from RNAcentral.
CAGCAGCCGCGGUAAUACGUAGGGUGCAAGCGUUAAUCGGAAUUACUGGGCGUAAAGCGUGCGCAGGCGGUUAUAUAAGACAGAUGUGAAAUCCCCGGGCUCAACCUGGGAACUGCAUUUGUGACUGUAUAGCUAGAGUACGGCAGAGGGGGAUGGAAUUCCGCGUGUAGCAGUGAAAUGCGUAGAUAUGCGGAGGAACACCGAUGGCGAAGGCAAUCCCCUGGGCCUGUACUGACGCUAAUGCACGAAAGCGUGGGGAGCAAACAGGAUUAGAUACCCCUGUAGUCCCUGUCUCUUAUAC